UGUAAGCUAUGUUAGCUAUGAAGUUUCUUCCUUUUCUGUUUUUCAUACCAACUUAAACCUCUGACAAUGUCAGUCUGGAUGCUAAGGGGAAUGGAAAUUGGACUUACACUGAAAGUACAGAACGGCAUGUGUCAAAACCUCAGAAAGUGCAUGCAGGUUCCCUUGCCAUUAUGCCUUCAAAAGAAGUUUUGGAGUUGGGACUGAAUUUCUCUAGUUAUAAUGAGCUGCUCCCAAGGAAGAUUUCUGGAUCAGUUUCAAAUGGAGCACUCCCAAAGGAAUUACCUAUGAAGGAAACUGGAAACUCUGUGAUGUCUCUCUGGCGUCUUUCCCUCCAGCUGGUGCCUCUGAACCUCUUCUGAAGGGGCCUGUGCAGAGCAGAGCUUGGCAACAAGAAAUUUUCACGGGUCCAGACAAUGAACAUACUAUCAAUAAGUCAGAGGCAGAAAUACUAUCACUAAAACCAUGGAAGAAGUCCUGGAAUCUCGCUGAGGUGCACAGAUACGGAUUGCAGCGUACAUUGCUCUUCUACGGGCCGACGAGAUUUUGUGGUGGCUUUUGUUUUCAGAUUCGAGUGCCGAGGGCUCAACAGGUGGUGCGGGGAUAAAGUUCUGGCAAAUCAAAUAGGUAAUGCGGUUAUUUCUUUUGUCAAAUUGUAAUUAAAAACAGGGACAAGUAAAAUGAAACUCACAUUUUGCUGGUGCAAAACGGGGUUUAGAAUUAAAUUCAAAUCGGUUUCCAUGACAAAUAUACAUUACUACUGGAGCUUGGUCUGUAAAUAAACAUGCGACACCUUAGUUUUGAUGUAGAAAG
This 810-nucleotide long non-coding RNA is filed under the name Struthio camelus australis. Its description in RNAcentral is "lncRNA (ENSSCUG00000009961.1)". The record is from RNAcentral. Lineage: Eukaryota; Metazoa; Chordata; Aves; Struthioniformes; Struthionidae.